GAUUCCUUAACUUAAUCGGUAAAGUGUAUUUUUGAUAAGAAUAUGAUCAGUGUUCAAUUCGCUGAGGAAUUA
Molecule: transfer RNA, 72 nt
Filed under: Hirsutella thompsonii
Lineage: Eukaryota; Fungi; Ascomycota; Sordariomycetes; Hypocreales; Ophiocordycipitaceae
Description: tRNA-Ile
Rfam family: tRNA
About the family: Transfer RNA (tRNA) molecules are approximately 80 nucleotides in length.
Source: RNAcentral